Molecule: ribosomal RNA, 483 nt
Filed under: uncultured bacterium
Lineage: Bacteria
Description: partial 16S ribosomal RNA
Rfam family: Bacterial small subunit ribosomal RNA
Source: RNAcentral
AUUGAACGCUGGCGGCAGGCCUAACGCAUGCAAGUCGAGCGGAUGAAGGGAGCUUGCUCCUGGAUUCAGCGGCGGACGGGUGAGUAAUGCCUAGGAAUCUGCCUGGUAGUGGGGAUAACGUCCGGAAACGGGCGCUAAUACCGCAUACGUCCUGAGGGAGAAAGUGGGGGAUCUUCGGACCUCACGCUAUCAGAUGAGCCUAGGUCGGAUUAGCUAGUUGGUGGGGUAAAGGCCUACCAAGGCGACGAUCCGUAACUGGUCUGAGAGGAUGAUCAGUCACACUGGAACUGAGACACGGUCCAGACUCCUACGGGAGGCAGCAGUGGGGAAUAUUGGACAAUGGGCGAAAGCCUGAUCCAGCCAUGCCGCGUGUGUGAAGAAGGUCUUCGGAUUGUAAAGCACUUUAAGUUGGGGGGAAGGGCAGUAAGUUAAUACCUUGCUGUUUUGACGUUACCAACAGAAUAAGCACCGGCUAACUUCGUG